This 642-nucleotide ribosomal RNA is filed under the name bacterium PE03-7A27. RNAcentral's name for it is "bacterial SSU rRNA". It matches the Rfam family "Bacterial small subunit ribosomal RNA", at positions 229 to 881 of the family's 1533-position model. The record is from RNAcentral.
ACUCGCGGCCUAUCAGCUAGUUGGUGAGGUAACGGCUCACCAAGGCGACGACGGGUAGCCGGCCUGAGAGGGCGACCGGCCACACUGGGACUGAGACACGGCCCAGACUCCUACGGGAGGCAGCAGUGGGGAAUAUUGCACAAUGGGCGAAAGCCUGAUGCAGCGACGCCGCGUGAGGGAUGACGGCCUUCGGGUUGUAAACCUCUUUCAGCAGGGAAGAAGCGAAAGUGACGGUACCUGCAGAAGAAGCACCGGCUAACUACGUGCCAGCAGCCGCGGUAAUACGUAGGGUGCGAGCGUUGUCCGGAAUUAUUGGGCGUAAAGAGCUUGUAGGCGGUUUGUCGCGUCUGCUGUGAAAAUCCGGGGCUCAACCCCGGACUUGCAGUGGGUACGGGCAGACUAGAGUGUGGUAGGGGAGACUGGAAUUCCUGGUGUAGCGGUGAAAUGCGCAGAUAUCAGGAGGAACACCGAUGGCGAAGGCAGGUCUCUGGGCCACUACUGACGCUGAGAAGCGAAAGCGUGGGGAGCGAACAGGAUUAGAUACCCUGGUAGUCCACGCCGUAAACGUUGGGAACUAGGUGUGGGUCUCAUUCCACGAGAUCUGUGCCGCAGCUAACGCAUUAAGUUCCCCGCCUGGGGAGU